AUCCAGACUCCUACGGGAGGCAGCAGUGGGGAAUAUUGCACAAUGGGGGAAACCCUGAUGCAGCGACGCCGCGUGAGCGAUGAAGUAUUUCGGUAUGUAAAGCUCUCUCAGCAGGGAAGAAAAUGACGGUACCUGACUAAGAAGCCCCGGCUAACUACGUGCCAGCAGCCGCGGUAAUACGUAGGGGGCAAGCGUUAUCCGGAUUUACUGGGUGUAAAGGGAGCGUAGACGGCUGUGCAAGCCAGAUGUGAAAGCCCGGGGCUCAACCCCGGGACUGCAUUUGGAACUGUGUGGCUGGAGUGUCGGAGAGGCAGGCGGAAUUCCUAGUGUAGCGGUGAAAUGCGUAGAUAUUAGGAGGAACACCAGUGGCGAAGGCGGCCUGCUGGACGAUGACUGACGUUGAGGCUCGAAAGCGUGGGGAGCAAACAGGAUUAGAUACCCCUGUAA
This 447-nucleotide ribosomal RNA is filed under the name uncultured bacterium. RNAcentral describes it as "partial 16S ribosomal RNA". It matches the Rfam family "Bacterial small subunit ribosomal RNA", at positions 329 to 793 of the family's 1533-position model. The record is from RNAcentral.